GAAUCUCAAAAUACUUUGCUGAAAUAGAACCUUCGAUAUUUAGGGCAAGGUUUAAUGAUCUGUCUUCUUCUGAAGUGACUAAUUUUCAAGGAAAAAAUGCUGAGUCAUACUCACAAGCAUGCAUUAUUUUGUGACGGAUUUUUUUUUUUUUUUUUCUGAGCAUAAAGAAUUUCUUCUUAGAGAAAUAACUUGGAAGGAAACAGCCACCAGGGCCAACACAUCUACAAGUGGAUUGUCUACAAGGGGAACAGCUUAUCUUAAAUUUAUGCUGCCAUCAAAAAUGAAGGUAGAUAAAACCUUCUUACAUUGUCACCGAUGGGAGGAAAAGCACAAAUGAAUACUUACUGCUUUGUAUCUCUUCUUACAUAUCUUACGAGAAAAAGAUUUUCCUGGUCAAAGCAUCUUUGCUAAGAUUUAUCUCCGGAGGGACACUGUUGUUCAAUCAAAUCUUUGUAAGAUUUUACUGUGGUGUUCCAAAAAGAAGAAUUACUCAGUGUGAUAUGUUUUAUUGUUUUCUUUUGAAUAAUUCCAGGAAUAGGUCAUAAAAUGUUUUGGUCAGCAAGUGUUCCAGACUGAGUCUUGGAGAUUAAGUUGUCAAAUUAAAAGAGAGAGGUUACAGAAUCCUUGUCUGGGAUGGUUUAACUGUUACUGUGUCAAGCUGAGAAGUAGCUUUAUGUUGAUUUAUUUAUUUCAGAGAAUGAAACAUGAAAUAGAGACAGUUUUGCUUAUACUCAGCCUUCUUAUGUUAAAGUGAGAAGAUAUCCUUUUAUGGAAAAUUAAAAAGCAUUGAAUUAAUUCUUAAGACAUGAGGUAAAGAGCAACAAGGAGACUGUGAGGAGGAGUGGAUGGAGUCAUCUGAAUUCUAGUCCUGGCUCUGCCUUUGUGUCAUCGUCAGUCCCCACCAACCCCCAUGGAUUUUUCAUCAGUAAAUGCUGAAAGUGGACAUCGUGUGUGUUGAAAUGCCUGGACCUUGAACUCUAAGGGCAUUUAAGACCUCCUCUCUCCCCUUCGUGGGGCCCAUGUUCCUAGUGCGCAGGACACCAGGUCUCCGCUUGUGUCUCAGCUCCCCUGACCUCCCAGAUUCUGGC
Bos taurus (domestic cattle) is the source of this 1088-nucleotide long non-coding RNA. NCBI's taxonomy places the organism in Eukaryota, Metazoa, Chordata, Mammalia, Artiodactyla, Bovidae. The record is from Ensembl.